RNAcentral lists this long non-coding RNA (1052 nucleotides) under Brassica napus (rape). RNAcentral's name for it is "long non-coding RNA (BNAP_LNC004353)". The record is from RNAcentral. Lineage: Eukaryota; Viridiplantae; Streptophyta; Magnoliopsida; Brassicales; Brassicaceae.
GUGUAUUAAGAAAUAAUUUUUAUUAUCAUUAUUAUGUUUGUUAUAUGUUUUUUUUUUUAAACUUGUUGCUCUUACCGGACAUUUAAAACAAAUACAUGAAGACUUGUAGAAAUAAUUAUAAAAUGAGUGAUAGUUUUUAGUAUUUGGAAUUUAAUGAGUUUUAAACGAAUAUGUAUUUCUUAUAAGAAGACAAUAGCAUUGGCCUGUUGCAUUGGACAUGUAAGCUAUUUUAAUAAGACAAGAGGAGUGAGCAGGUGAAACUGUUGUUGCCGCCUUUGUGUCUGUCGGGAUUGUCUCUUGUAUCUUCUGUUGUGACUGUGUUUGUUUAUCUUUUAUUUGAUGGAUAAUACGUAAACAAAAAUCAUUAUUAGUUAUAUUUAUCAGAGUUCAUAACUUACUGUGCUUUUUUUUGUUUAAGUAAUUUCAUUGAUAAUCUUGGUUGUCGUCUUCGUCUUCUUCGUUGCGAAAGUAAGUUUUUAAAUUGUUAAAUAGCUGGCCAUGUAGUUUGUAUUUGUUUAGCUGACUCGAUGUAUGUGUUGUUGCGAAAGUAAGUUUGUAAAUUGUUAAAUAGCUGGUCGUGUAGUUUGUAUUUGUUUAGCUGACUCGAUGUAUGUGACGUUGAGUUUUAGUUGAGGUGAUUGGUUUGGUAUAUUUGUUUUGAAGUAUAUUUCUAAGAUUGGACAAAAAAGAGAGGUGAUCAUUAAUGAUUUGUCUUUUUUGGAAUUAUAGUUUUUGGUGUUUUGAUUGCUUGGGUUGUUGUGGUUUCUUUUAAUCUGUAAAAUUAAGGGUUGUGUAAAAUUAGUUUGAUAAGUAAGGGAGAUAAAUAGACGACCACGGAAUUUGGGUAGGAAAUAUUUUUGAUUAUUGAUGUUAGCACAAUAUAGAUAAUAAUAUAAUUGUGUGUUGAUUGUUUCUUACAGAUCAAUGAGAAGACAAAUAACGACUCGAGUUGUUUCUUUGCUAAAGGUCAGAGCCUUGCACGGAACGGAUUUUCCCAACCGCAUCUGCGAGUUUUAAUAUUAGUUAUGAUAAGAAUAUCUUCAAUGGUACAC